GACGAGGAAGACGCCGAGGCCUGGGCCAUGGAACUGGCGGACGUGGGGGCGGCAGCCAGCUCGCAGGGUGCGCCGCAGCCAGAGGAGCCAGCGGCCUCCUUGGGUGUAAAUGAGAAGGGUGGGGCAGGCGGACGCUCGGGGCGGCGGCCACUGGGGCGCGACCGUCCCCGCCCCACUCGGCUCCUCUAAGAGAGGGCUGCCUCCCUCUGCCUUGUGUUACGCGGCGGGUACCUCUAGAGGAAUGGCUUCACCCAGUAGGAGUAGGGUGGGGCGCGUCCACACUACAAAUACGUGUCGAGGGUUUAUCUGCACCGUCCUUUCCUCUGUGAGGGGCGAGGUGGGGCGGGAAUCCCUCAGCCAGCCCGACGAAAACUGCAGAGGCUUCCGGGCCUUUUAACUUUGGAGAAGUUGAGGACCUUGUCGCUCAUUUGGCAGAAGGUGGGACCCGGUUCUCAGUCCUGGCAGGAAGGGAUGGCUCAGAACCUAGGCGGAGUCAGGUCCGCUGUGGUCACGUCUCCGGUGACCCACUUCCAGCUCUGGUCUUUACCUUGUACCGCCCACCUCAGGGCCUGGAUGUAAAGGCACCGGUUCUCAUUUCCUGCUGGUUUUGUUUCAUUCAUUAAUUUAGAGACAAGGUCUCCCUGCAGCCUCGAACCCCUGGGCUCAAGUGAUCCUCCGCCCCAGCCUCUCCCUCCCGAGUAGCUGGGACAGCAGGCACGUGCCACCACACCUGGCUGAUUUUCAGAUUUUUUUAGAUCAGGUGUAGCUGUGUUGUCCAGGCUGGUCUCAAACUCCAGCCACAAGCGAUCCUUCCACCUCAGCUUCGAAAAGUGUUGGGAUUACAGUAGUUAGCCAUCGUGCCUGGCCUUUUAAAUUUUGGAACAACUUUAGGUUUACCUGAAAGUUGCAGAGCUAGAUCCCCCUAGUGUUAACAUAAACUCAGUACAUUUGUCAAAACUAGGAAAUUAACAUUGGUAUAAUACUAUUAAUUGAACUACACGCUUUAUUAAUAUUUUACCAGUUUUUCUGCUAACGUUCAUUUUCUGUUCCAGGAUCCCAACCAGAAUAUUGUAUUGUAUUUUGCCUGUCUUGUUUUUAGCCAGUGUUGAGAGAAGGAAUCGCCUCUGUCAUUCCCUCCCCCACAAAUAAUGACCUAACAACUUUUUAAAAUCAAAGAACUAUUCAGUCUUUCAAUUUAGUGAAUAUUUAUUGGUGGUCUGUUAUGUCCUAGACACUGUUUUAGGCACUGGCGAUUUAGCAUUAAACCAGAUAAUCCUGCUGCCAUGGGAGCUAAAAAUAGCCCACACUUGUACCCACUGGUUGGCUUCUGCCAUUUUGUAUUUCAGUUUUUGUUUGUUUGUUUGUUUGUUUUAAAUGUAAGGGCAUGCUGCUUAGAAUAAUUUUCAAGUUGUGUGAAAAUCAACGUCAUUUCAACUUUUCUGCCCCUUCUGGUUUACACUAAGAGCUACUAUAAACUUCCAGGUGAUAGUAUUAGCUCUUUUAUCAUCCAUUAUUUAUCACAUUUUUUCCCUUCAAACUUAUUACUAUCCUGAGAAAAACGCAGUGCACAAAGAAACAGUAAUUAAGAGGACUGAAGACCCUACUCUAAGUGGAGUUUCAUGUCUUUGUAAUUUUUCGAUGCUUUCACACAAUCCAGCAGAAAACUAACGUCACUCUGCAUUCUUCCUUCACAGGUACCAUGUUUUAAGGAACUGUCAGUUGCUGAGAGAUAAUAAGCAGCCUGAAUUUCUUUUUAUUUCUUUGCAUAUUGUGCAGGAGUUCAUGAUCAAGUGUUGCCCACACCAAAUUCUUCAUCCAGAGUCAUAGUACAUGUGGAUCUGGAUUGCUUUUAUGCACAAGUAGAGAUGAUCUCAAAUCCAGAGCUAAAAGACAAACCUUUAGGGGUUCAACAGAAAUAUUUGGUGGUUACCUGCAACUAUGAAGCUAGGAAACUUGGAGUUAAGAAACUUAUGAAUGUCAGAGAUGCAAAAGAAAAGUGUCCACAGUUGGUAUUAGUUAAUGGAGAAGACCUGACCCGCUACAGAGAAAUGUCUUAUAAGGUUACAGAAUUACUGGAAGAAUUUAGUCCAGUUGUUGAGAGACUUGGAUUUGAUGAAAAUUUUGUGGAUCUAACAGAAAUGGUUGGGAAGAGACUACAGCAGCUGCAAAGUGAUGAACUUUCUGUGGUGACUGUGUCGGGUCAUGUAUACAAUAAUCAGUCUAUAAACCUGCUUGACGUCUUGCACAUCAGACUACUUGUUGGAUCUCAGAUUGCAGCAGAGAUGCGGGAAGCCAUGUAUAAUCAGUUGGGGCUCACUGGCUGUGCUGGAGUGGCUUCUAAUAAACUGUUGGCAAAAUUAGUUUCUGGUGUCUUUAAACCGAAUCAACAAACAGUCUUAUUACCUGAAAGUUGUCAACAUCUUAUUCAUAGUUUGAAUCACAUAAAGGAAAUACCUGGUAUUGGCUAUAAAACUGCCAAAUGUCUUGAAGCACUGGGUAUCAAUAGUGUGCGUGAUCUCCAAACCUUUUCACCCAAAAUUUUAG
Molecule: small RNA, 2544 nt
Filed under: Pan troglodytes (chimpanzee)
Lineage: Eukaryota; Metazoa; Chordata; Mammalia; Primates; Hominidae
Description: retained intron
Source: RNAcentral